RNAcentral lists this ribosomal RNA (1460 nucleotides) under metagenome. Its description in RNAcentral is "bacterial LSU rRNA". It matches the Rfam family "Bacterial large subunit ribosomal RNA", at positions 1433 to 2925 of the family's 2925-position model. The record is from RNAcentral.
GGAUUCCUGCACUACCGAUGGAAUGAAGCAGUGACACAGAAGGAUAACUCGAGCAGGGUGAUGGUCAACCCUGUGCAAGCAUUGAGGUUGGGUUGUAGUGAAGUACGCAAUCCUAUAAGCUGAGGUGUGAUGCGGACCGAAAUUUCAGUAGGGAAGCGAGUGAGUUCACGCUGGCGAGAAAAGCUGCUAGUACAUCCAAAGGUACCCGUACCGGAAACCGACGCAGGUGGGCGAGGAGAGAAUCCUGAGACGAACGGGAGAACCCUUGUUAAGGAACUCGGCAAAAUGACCCCGUAACUUCGGGAUAAGGGGUGCCUGCGAGAGCAGGCCGCAGAGAAUAGUCACAAGCGACUGUUUAGCAAAAACACAGGUAUCUGCGAAAGCGAGAGCUGACGUAUAGGUGCUGACACCUGCCCGGUGCUGGAAGGUUAAGGGAACAUGUUAGAGCAAUCGAAGCAUCGAACCGAAGCCCCAGUAAACGGCGGCCGUAACAAUAACGGUCCUAAGGUAGCGAAAUUCCUUGUCGGGUAAGUUCCGACCCGCACGAAUGGUGUAACGACUUGUGAGCUGUCUCAACAGGGGGCCCGGUGAAAUUGAAGUAUGGGUGAAGAUGCCCAUUACCCGCGACUGGACGGAAAGACCCCGUAGAGCUUUACUGCAGCCUGAUAUUGAGUUUCGGUAACUGAUGCACAGGAUAGGUGGGAGUCUGAGAGACACGGGUUUCGGCUCGUGUGGAGACGGUGUUGGGAUACCACUCUUCGGUUACUGAAAUUCUAACAUAGCUCUGUGAAACCAGAGGAUGGACAGUGUCAGGUGGACAGUUUGACUGGGGCGGUCGCCUCCGAAAGAGUAACGGAGGCGCCCAAAGGUACCCUCAGAAUGGAUGGAAACCAUUCGAAGAGCGCAAAGGCAGAAGGGUGCCUGACUGCGAGAUUGACAAAUCGAGCAGAGACGAAAGUCGGGCUUAGUGAUCCGGCGGUAUUGAGUGGAAAAGCCGUCGCUUAACGGAUAAAUCUACCUCGGGGAUAACAGGCUGAUCUCCCCCAAGAGUCCACAUCGACGGGGAGGUUUGGCACCUCGAUGUCGGCUCGUCGCAUCCUGGGGCUGAAGCAGGUCCCAAGGGUUUGGCUGUUCGCCAAUUAAAGCGGCACGCGAGCUGGGUUCAGAACGUCGUGAGACAGUUCGGUCCCUAUCCAUCGUGGGCGUAGGAGUCAUGAGAGGAGCUGUUCCUAGUACGAGAGGACCGGAAUGGACGCACCACUGGUGCAACUGUUGUCGUGCCAACGGCAUAGCAGGGAAGCGAAGUGCGGAUGGGAUAAACGCUGAAGGCAUCUAAGCGUGAAGCCCACCUCAAGAAUAAGACUCCACAAUAGACCCCUGGAGGACUACCAGGUAGAUAGGUCAUCGGUGGAAGCGCUGUAAGGCGUGUAGCUUGAUGAUACUAAUCGGUCGAAAGCUUC